This 465-nucleotide ribosomal RNA is filed under the name uncultured bacterium. RNAcentral describes it as "partial 16S ribosomal RNA". It matches the Rfam family "Bacterial small subunit ribosomal RNA", at positions 28 to 507 of the family's 1533-position model. The record is from RNAcentral.
GACGAACGCUGGCGGCGUGCUUAACACAUGCAAGUCGAACGGAAAGGCCCUGCUUGCAGGGUACUCGAGUGGCGAACGGGUGAGUAACACGUGGGUGAUCUGCCCUGCACUUCGGGAUAAGCCUGGGAAACUGGGUCUAAUACCGGAUAGGAGCCAGUUUUAGUGUGAUGGUUGGAAAGUUUUUUCGGUGUAGGAUGAGCUCGCGGCCUAUCAGCUUGUUGGUGGGGUAAUGGCCUACCAAGGCGGCGACGGGUAGCCGGCCUGAGAGGGUGGACGGCCACAUUGGGACUGAGAUACGGCCCAGACUCCUACGGGAGGCAGCAGUGGGGAAUAUUGCACAAUGGGCGUAAGCCUGAUGCAGCGACGCCGCGUGGGGGAUAACGGCCUUCGGGUUGUAAACUCCUUUCGCUAGGGACGAAGCUUUUUGUGACGGUACCUAGAUAAGAAGCACCGGCUAACUACGUG